GAUGAACGCUGGCGGCGUGCCUAAUACAUGCAAGUCGAGCGAACAGACGAGGAGCUUGCUCCUCUGACGUUAGCGGCGGACGGGUGAGUAACACGUGGAUAACCUACCUAUAAGACUGGGAUAACUUCGGGAAACCGGAGCUAAUACCGGAUAAUAUAUUGAACCGCAUGGUUCAAUAGUGAAAGACGGUUUUGCUGUCACUUAUAGAUGGAUCCGCGCCGCAUUAGCUAGUUGGUAAGGUAACGGCUUACCAAGGCAACGAUGCGUAGCCGACCUGAGAGGGUGAUCGGCCACACUGCAACUGAGACACGGUCCAGACUCCUACGGGAGGCAGCAGUAGGGAAUCUUCCGCAAUGGGCGAAAGCUUGACGGAGCAACGCCGCGUGAGUUAUGAAGGUCUUCGGAUCGUAAGACUCUGUUAUUAGGGAAGAACAAAUGUGUAAGUAACUAUGCACGUCUUGACGGUACCUAAUCAGAAAGCCACGGCUAACUACGUG
This 497-nucleotide ribosomal RNA is filed under the name uncultured bacterium. RNAcentral's name for it is "partial 16S ribosomal RNA". It matches the Rfam family "Bacterial small subunit ribosomal RNA", at positions 28 to 507 of the family's 1533-position model. The record is from RNAcentral.